GUGACUCUUGUGUUAGCUGCCUCCUGUUUCACUCAGGUACCCCUCCACAGCGAGGCUACUCUCAGAAGACAGUCCACCUCUGACCCAGCUCCUGUCACAGGUGAGCUCACCUGCUCUGAUCACCUCCUUCUAGCCCCUCCCUCCCUCCUGACACCUCCUGACACUGUGACUUCUGUACAUUCACAUCAGAUAACAGCCUGUUUAUGAGAGGAGCACAUCUGAAGGAGUAUGUUGGAAUGUUUGCAGCCUCAUGUUGAUCACAGAGCCUGCGCUGUUUCACCUGAAGACCGCGGGACCACGUGUGCGUAAUAGGAGGAAACACACAGAAGCAUCAGAGCAGAGGAGAGAAGAAGACAUCCAGCUGAGCUCAGGUAGAUGAUGGCGUGUGUGUUGGCUCUUCUCGUCCUGUCCCUCCUCCUGAUUGGUCCGUCAGCGUCACCUCCGUCUUCAGGUGACGUGUCAGAGGGGGCGGAGCCGGCCUCUCACUGCCCGCCGCGCUGGCUCCUGUUGGGGCAGAGAUGCUUCGCUUUCUACCCCGUGUGGAGCUCCUGGAGCUCUGCUGAGUCCAUGUGCUCUCAGACAGGGGGUCACCUGGCUUCCCUUCACACCCCGGAGGAGAGGCUGUUCGUGGGUCAGCUGGUGAGAACACACACACCUGUGUGGCUGGGUGGACGCCGGGCCCAACAGAACGGCUCCUGGGUUUGGACUGACGAUCAGAACCAGGAAGAGACCGGCGAGGGCGGGGCUUGCAUGCAAAUGGACCCAAUAAGUGGAGAGCUGCAUGGCGCCCCCUGUGGAGAGCUCUGGUUCUACAUCUGCUCCACCGCAGCCAGUUCUGAAGCCUUACCUGAGAACAGAACACCAGUCAAGUCAGGUCUCGCCCCCAAUGUGAGUCUGUUCGAUGCAGUGUGGGGUCCCAGUGACGCGUUGGCCGAGGAGAUUCUCCGCUGGUCCUGCUUCUUCCAGGAGCUCCAGUCCGGUCGCCUGAAGCAGCGCUGCUACAGCAGCUUCAUGCAGCAGGAGGCGCUCUACCUGCAGAGAGUCAGCAGCAUGCUGGAGGUCCUGGUCAGCAGCUUACAGGAAGCAGAUGCUGUGAGAUCACUGCUGCUGGACACUCUGGAACACUACAGCAGCAGAACACAGAACCCCAUCAAUUCACCUCCACCUCAGUGGCUCCAGUCGUCCCUCCAGUCUUUCCACUUUGUGGUUUUGGAGGAGCCGAUCUACUGGCUGGUGGCGCUGUCAGCCCGGGCCUGCCUCUAUGACUUGCUCUCCGGGGUGCAGGUCAGGACGGGGUCUGGGUCUGAACUUGUCUACCAGGACUGGAGCGAAGAGAGUCUGAAGGAAGUCGUCUGGACACAAAGGUACAGACAGGUGCUGGAGAAACAUCAGGAUCAGAUGGACACGUUCAAGGCGAUCCACGUCUUCAGGCAGCACAUGAUGAACCAGAAGAGUCUCCACAAGGCCGUAGUCUGCGAUGAUGACAUCGGUGACACCUUAUGAAGGGUGAAGUUUGUGUCUGAACGCAAGCGACCGUCUGUUGGAACGAGACUGUUCCUGCCACCAGGGUGAAGGGAACCUCCUGAACUCCACAAGUUUAGGCUUUAUUUAUAUUUCUAUCCGUUUUGUAUGAAGUUAGUAGAACUGUUGUGAAGUGAGCGAGAGGACAGCGGAGAUGAAGAAACGUGGCGUCGCCCCAGUAAAACCUCAAACAGCUCAGAAGUCCAACAUUUAUUUACAUGAUUGUCCACAAGUUUUUUAUCCUCUGUCUGAUACAAAUUGUCAUAUUUUACAAUAAGCUACAUUUUGUUUAAGUCUGACGGGCCAGAUGGAAAAAUAAAGAUAAAAAAAAAGAUGGUGAGACUUUCUGUUUAUUUGUAUUUUUACUCCUGUUAAGUUUAGGUAAGAAAAAAAAUAAAUAAAUGUCUCUAUAAAUACAUUUAAUAUGUGAUUAAAUUGGAUUAAAGUAUAUAUUUCUGUUUUUUUAUUUGCCUCGGAAUUAAUUUACUUUUCUAUUUACUCCUCAGUUUUAUUUAUGAUUAAAAUAAAACAAGGUGAGACCUUAUGUUUAUUUCUGUUUUUACUCCUUUUAAGUCCAGGUAAGAAUUUAAAUAAAAAUAAAUAAAUAAAUCUCAAUAAAUAAAUGUAAUAUGGGAUUCAAUUCAAUUCAAAUAUAUAUUAGUUUUUUGAUUUACUCUUCAGUGUAUUUAGAAUUAUAUUCCAUCUCAAUUAUUUAAAUAAAAUAAAAAUAAAAUAAAAACAUGGUGAGACUUUCUGUUUAUUUCUGUGUUUACUCAUUUAAAGUUAACAUAAGAAUUAAA
RNAcentral lists this long non-coding RNA (2321 nucleotides) under Sparus aurata (gilthead seabream). RNAcentral's name for it is "lncRNA (ENSSAUG00010001973.1)". The record is from RNAcentral. Lineage: Eukaryota; Metazoa; Chordata; Actinopteri; Spariformes; Sparidae.